Molecule: unclassified non-coding RNA, 171 nt
Filed under: Trichoderma harzianum
Lineage: Eukaryota; Fungi; Ascomycota; Sordariomycetes; Hypocreales; Hypocreaceae
Also listed under: 1 other name
Description: partial internal transcribed spacer 2
Source: RNAcentral
CAACCCUCGAACCCCUCCGGGGGGUCGGCGUUGGGGAUCGGCCCUCCCUUAGCGGGUGGCCGUCUCCGAAAUACAGUGGCGGUCUCGCCGCAGCCUCUCCUGCGCAGUAGUUUGCACACUCGCAUCGGGAGCGCGGCGCGUCCACAGCCGUUAAACACCCAACUUCUGAAA